AAUGGGCGCAAGCCUGAUCCAGCAAUGCCGCGUGGGUGAAGACGGCCUGCGGGUUGUAAAGCCCUUUUGGUGGGGAAGAAAGCCCUAAGGUAAACAGCCUUGGGGGGUGACGUUACCUGCCGAAGAAGCACCGGCCAACUCCGUGCCAGCAGCCGCGGUAAUACGGAGGGUGCAAGCGUUAAUCGGAAUUACUGGGCGNAAAGCGCACGUAGGCGGUGGUUCUAGUCCGUUGGGAAAGCCCUGGGCUAAACCUGGGAAAGGCAAGGGAAACGGAACCACUAGAGUGUAGAAGAGGACCGUGGAAUUCCCGGUGUAGCGGUGAAAUGCGUAGAGAUCGGGAAGAACACCGAUGGCGAAGGCAGCGGUCUGGGUUAACACUGACGCUGAGGUGCGACAGCGUGGGGAGCAAA
Molecule: ribosomal RNA, 410 nt
Filed under: uncultured bacterium
Lineage: Bacteria
Description: bacterial SSU rRNA
Rfam family: Bacterial small subunit ribosomal RNA
Source: RNAcentral